AAAUAAGAAGCGAAAAUUAUUGCAAUCAGUUUCGACCUGAAUUAGUUGAUGUUCAUUCAUCCUUAUUUA
This 69-nucleotide transfer RNA is filed under the name Cordulegaster boltonii (golden-ringed dragonfly). RNAcentral describes it as "tRNA-Arg". RNAcentral also lists the same sequence under 1 other name. The record is from RNAcentral. Lineage: Eukaryota; Metazoa; Arthropoda; Insecta; Odonata; Cordulegastridae.